GUGGGGUUUGAAUGAGGCCUUUUCAGUUGAAAGGCUCGAAUUCAUGCUCUGGUAAGGGGGUU
This 62-nucleotide ribosomal RNA is filed under the name uncultured bacterium. Its description in RNAcentral is "partial 16S ribosomal RNA". The record is from RNAcentral.